Bombus pascuorum is the source of this 1310-nucleotide long non-coding RNA. RefSeq lists it as uncharacterized. The record is from RefSeq and is a predicted model, not a curated record. NCBI's taxonomy places the organism in Eukaryota, Metazoa, Arthropoda, Insecta, Hymenoptera, Apidae. The transcript has 3 exons.
GUAUUUAAUAUGUUUUAUCUAGUGUUGAUAUAGUUUAUUAUUGUAUCUAGUUUUAAUAUAUAAUAUCUAGUAUUUUUAAUAUUUCAGUGACAACAACGAAGAUUUUUAACCUCGAUUUUUAAUUAAUUUCUUUCUUUUACUUUAAUUAUCUCUUUUAAUGUAUGACUUAUCUUGUGUUUUAUCUUAUGUCUUAUCUGUAUGUCUUUUUCUAACUUUAGUCUUUUCUUUUUAUGUAGAUAUUUUAUGGUGGAUGAAAGGGAAGAAACAUCACUAGAAUUUCUUCAAUGAAUCUUCCAAGAAGACUCUACUUCUUUGUCACAGCCUGGUGAAGACUUUCAGGAACCUGAUCCAGUUGAUCAUAGUAAUGUGAUUGGACACCAAUGAGAUUCGAUCGACGAAGCUAAUCCAGCCUUCGCGUUUGGAUAGUGAAUAUGACGGUAGAGGGUUGCUCUUCUCACCGUUUCUCUCCCUUUCUUUUCUUGAAACCGACGACACGCAGUCGCGGAGGGGCGGCGCCUUCGAAUGGCAGCAGCAAGAGCGCAAACGCCUUCGGUUUCACAGCGUGCUUCCGGCUUCAACUAGAGCAACAAUCUCGACUAUCAGAAAUCUUUCGACCGUUCUGAAAUAAACCAGGAGAGCACGUCGGAGCUUCCCAUUCGCCUUCGAAAAUGUGUUUACACGGCACUAUACACUUCACCGGAAUAAUUCUCGAUGUCUUUUUGCUCCGUACGAAAACGAACGAGUUUUCCUUGGCGCCUGUAUUGUGAGGUCCACGAUUUCGCGGUAUCGCCUGAGUAAAUUCCAUCCAUCGGCGGGGGUGGCGGCUUUUACAAUUUACUGUUUCCACGUUCCGAUCUAUUUUAAUUAUUGCUGGCGAAGUUAGCCGCGAAAAAUUCCAUAAAUCUUCGUCUCCUGCGGUAAUUAGCGGGAAUACUUUCGACCAGCAGGCAUAAAUCCCGCAAUUCCUUCCAGGAACCUCGGAACAUUGACGACACAAGGUGCAACACAGAUCCAGUGUCUCUCAAGUAACCGAAUUUUUCAAAUCGAAGCGACUAAAAGUUCAUUUCAGAAUGUUUUCCGCGAUAAUUAUUAAAGAGGAAAGAGGAAGAUAACUGGAAUUAAGAAAUUAUUGCAAUUUUAAUGGGUGAUUGUCAAUAGUUUAUUGAUUAUUUAUUGUAGGAAAAUUAUACAGUGGCUGAAAAAUGGUCAGAAAUUGAUUUACAAUCUUGUUACAAUUUUUUAAAUAAUAAUUGAAGAAGAUAGGAGAAGAGGAUGGGAAUUGACAAUCAGUAUCGAUUAUUUAUCAUAAA